UCCGCUUUUGGCGGCAGCGGCGGUAGACACGACGCCUGAGCUCUUUUUACUGCCUUUGCAGCUGUCGAGCAUUACUUCCCUGCUUGCUGGAGAAGCAUCACUCUGCAUUGUCCUACCUGCCGUAACCGUCUGCAGGGCCGUGUAGCUACCCUUUCACUACGACUGAAAAGCUGAUCUGUCCUGCCCAAUCGCCCCCUGCAUCACGCGACGCAAGCGACAUAGCGGCCAGCUCUACGCUGAAUGUGGCGUUGAUUGGCGUUUGGUGGCAGCGGCGGGAGACACGUCGGCGGAAGUCUUCUUGCUGCAUUUGCAGCCCCUCUUUCUCAUUCCAAGCAGUGAAGCCGUAGCUCAGUGAGCCAGUGGCAGCACGGUGAUCGUUUCGUGUGAACAUUGCCAGCGCACAGAACGUUUUCUCUCGGUCAGGGACAGGAAGGAUGAUGCCUGUCAGCAUGCACCAGGCCGUGCUGCUUUGCGCAGCACUGACAGCUGUGGCGUCGUAUGAAGAGAAGGACAUCAAGUGCACUGUGAAGGAAAAUAUUGUUCCAAGCAUCAAUAUAUGCAAUGGAGUUGACGACUGCUACAGGAGGGACCGCUACAGCAGUCGAUAUGGCUACUACAUGGAAUCUGACGACGAAGACAGAGAAUUGUGUGCACGAGAACAUCUUCUUCACGAAGUACGGCUCACCAGCCUUGCACAUCCGAACGGCUCGCUACUGCUUUCGUGGGCGUGGACCGCGGCCCCGAGCUCUGUUCUGGCGGGAUACUAUUUACGCGGUACUUCCUCGGACCACACAUUUCAGACAACGCUGUCGCCCUUGCAGAGUGAUUACACAGCUGAUUGCCUCAGAGGAUACACCGAAUACAGCAUUACGCUGCGGCCUUUCUACAACAUUGAGGGCCUAUCGAAACUUGGCAAGGCAACACAGGUUAUCGUGCGAACUCCAGCUACAGCUCCGGGUGCACCGAUGAAUAUUGUGCGACAGUCGCCAUCGCGUAUAAAACACGAUGGUUCACCACUACUGGCCAUAACCAUCCUCGGACCAGUGUCUUGGAAUUCCAGUCCAGUCGGCUUCCGUCUGCGCUGGGAACCAAAUGAACAAAGCAACCAAUCUGCGAGGGAUUUCGAUUUGUCUCCCGAUGCGAUGGGACGCAAGAAGGACUUGAACGUCACCCUGUCUUUGAAGCCUGGACGCGAAUACACACUGUUUGCCAGCGCACGAGGGGUCGGGGACUUCGGGGAAGUCCUUAUAGGGCCCGAGACGUCGGUGACAAUGGGAACUACGCCUCUGGCUCCCGCUAACUUGUCGGCGAAGAGCAUUGACCCAACCAGCGUUAUCAUUUCAUGGCAAGCUGCAAGUCCUGCGCGAAGGUUUUUGAUUUAUCGAUCCUUUGACGCACCACUGCGUACAUGCGCAGUCGAACAUUGCCCCUAUGACGACAAUUUGUACACGGGUGACCGAUACGCUUUUGGCGGCACACGCCUUGAAACGUCGACUGUUGUGCUCGACGGAAGUUCGCAGGAGUCGUCAUCCUACAGUCUGCCCCUGUUCAACCUAUUGUCGUCUGUGAACUACACAGUCGAAGUCAAGGCAUGUGGUGCCGAAUUAUGCAGCAACGAGACAAGCACGACUUUUACCACUCCUCCUUCAGCUAUUCCCACGCCUAUGAUCACAACAAUCCUAUCGAACGACACCAGCUCCCUCUACUUGGAAUGGAACAUCACGUUUCUACGGCACGCGCCAGAGCUGAACCCAGAGUUCGAAGUGACAGUGAAAACAAAUGGCUUCUACAGACUCGUCCACACUGUCGAGAAGGCGAUCAAGAUAGGGAAUCUCAGCUCAGGCGCAGAGUACGAAGUUCAGGUGCUGCUUUCCCUAGAGAGGACGCCCGGAAAACGAGAGUACGGCCGCCCUGCAAGAGCCACCGUAACCACUUGGCCUCUCGUGCCUCUGGCUCCAACGUUGUCAACAAGAGGAUUCCAGUCCACACCAGACAUAGCGGCUGUGUCAUGGAGAUUUCUCAACAGCACCAUUACGCAUGUAGAGGUUGCAACGAACUACAGCAACUGGGUGAAUUGCGAAAACUCGACCGAAUGCGACGAGGUCGUGUUGCACGGCUGGAACUCCUCCUUCAAAGCGGGAUACGUCAGGAUCUCAAAUCUUAGACCACACACGGCAUACUCACUAUCAGUGAGAGGCUGCAACAACCUAGGAUGUGGGGACGCCAACACAGUGGUCAUCACAACCGACAUGUCAGAGCCGAGUGAGCCUACUCGCCUGACAGUGAAUGCAACAGAAGAUGGUUCUUCCGCUCACCUCGAGUGGAAGGCGCCAGACGAGCCAAGGGGUCCGCUGACGGGCUACGUGGUCUCCUGGCAGUGUGACCAGGACCAUCUCAUGGCUGCGACCACUGAUCAAUCCUCUUUUGCCAUCCCUGGUCUUCCUGCCGGCGCCCAGGAGUGCAGCUUCUCAGUGUCCGCUUUCAACGUGGCGACUGACGAGCGGCAACUGCGCGGGAAAUCUGCCACUCUGAUGAUGCCUUGGCCACCCCAGAAUUGAUCGGAUCACCGGGGCUACUAUCGCGUCUUACGUGAGGCACGCUCUGAACCUAGGCUAAAGUGUAGUCAUGACAAUCACGAUUCAAAUAGACAAACGCAAAAAGAAAGAAAUGCAAUGUUGUUGCUUUGUUGUGAUUUAUGCAUUUAUGUUGACGUCACUAAGCUUACUAUUGCUCUAGUACUCGUAUUGUAUUCUUUUUUCCUUUUGCCUUCCAUCCCCCUACGUUUCGCUUAGUUUUCUUCAACAACGUUGCCUUGUAUGAGCAACCAAUGAUCAGGAAACUAUGCACAGUCUUAGCUGAGCCUUCCAGGCAUAAGCUGUCUGCAGAAGUCACACAAGAGCAAAUUAGGAUGAUGAUGAUGAUGAUGAUGAUGAUGACUUAUUGAAGGACAACUUGAGUUUCUAGAAUUGGCUCGUUAAUCUAAGGUAUGACAAGCGUGUUUGACCCACUACUCAACGGUAGCCAAAAUGAAAGCGAAUCAUAGAUAGGGUAUCCUAACACGUGGUUCUCCAAGCUCAGACUCGUGGGCCACAUUUUGCCCGCGGCGGGUUUCCGCGUACAACCCGCCACUUAGCGCCGCCCCUUUUCACGACCGGCAGGCCGCGACUCUUCCUCGCAGCUGAGUCGGUGGCCCUUGGAUUCAGUGCGCAGCCGCGAGCGGCG
Molecule: unclassified non-coding RNA, 3222 nt
Filed under: Dermacentor andersoni
Lineage: Eukaryota; Metazoa; Arthropoda; Arachnida; Ixodida; Ixodidae
Description: uncharacterized LOC126547715
Source: RNAcentral